Molecule: ribosomal RNA, 461 nt
Filed under: uncultured bacterium
Lineage: Bacteria
Description: partial 16S ribosomal RNA
Rfam family: Bacterial small subunit ribosomal RNA
Source: RNAcentral
CCUACUGGAGGCAGCAGUGAGGAAUAUUUGUCAAUGGGCGGGCGCCUGAACCAGCCAAGUCGCGUGAGGGAAGACGGUCCUAUGGAUUGUCAACCUCUUUAGGCGGGGAUCAAUGCCGGGCACGCGUGCCCGGAGGGAGAGUACCCGCAGAAUAAGCAUCGGCUAACUCCGUGCCAGCAGCCGCGGUAAUACGGAGGAUGCGAGCGUUAUCCGGAUUUAUUGGGUUUAACGGGAGCGUAGGCCGGUCUUUAAGCGUGCCGUGAACUUUUGUGGCUCAACCAUGAGAGUGCGGCGCGAACUGGAGACCUGGAGUGCGCGGAAGGCAGGCGGAAUUCGUGGUGUAGCGGUGAAAUGCUGAGAUAGCACGAAGAACCCCGAUUGCGAAGGCAGCCUGCCGCAGCGUUACUGACGCUGAAGCUCGAAAGCGCGGGUAUCGAACAGGAUUAGAUACCCGAGUAGUC